GUGAGGAAUAUUGGUCAAUGGGCGCAAGCCUGAACCAGCCAUGCCGCGUGCAGGAAGACGGUCCUAUGGAUUGUAAACUGCUUUUAUUUGGGAAUAAACUCCGGUACGUGUACCGGCCUGAAGGUACCAAAUGAAUAAGCACCGGCUAACUCCGUGCCAGCAGCCGCGGUAAUACGGAGGGUGCAAGCGUUAUCCGGAAUCAUUGGGUUUAAAGGGUCCGCAGGCGGUCUUAUAAGUCAGUGGUGAAAGCCUACAGCUCAACUGUAGAACUGCCAUUGAUACUGUAGGACUUGAAUUCGAUCGAAGUGGGCGGAAUGGGACAUGUAGCGGUGAAAUGCUUAGAUAUGUCACAGAACACCGAUAGCGAAGGCAGCUCACUAGGUCUGGAUUGACGCUCAGGGACGAAAGCGUGGGGAGCAAACAGGAUUAGAUACCCGGGUAGUCC
This 445-nucleotide ribosomal RNA is filed under the name uncultured bacterium. Its description in RNAcentral is "partial 16S ribosomal RNA". It matches the Rfam family "Bacterial small subunit ribosomal RNA", at positions 354 to 796 of the family's 1533-position model. The record is from RNAcentral.